GACGAACGCUGGCGGCGUGCUUAACACAUGCAAGUCGAACGGAAAGGCCUGCUUUCCCUUGUGGAUUGCGGGUACUCGAGUGGCGAACGGGUGAGUAACACGUGAGCGAUCUGCCCCCAACUUGGGUAUAAGCCUGGGAAACUGGGUCUAAUUCCCGAUAGGACUGCAGGGUGGUGCCUGUGGUGGAAAACGAUUUUCUAGUGGUUGGGGAUGAGCUCGCGGCCUAUCAGCUUGUUGGUGGGGUAAUGGCCUACCAAGGCGGCGACGGGUAGCCGGCCUGGGAGGGUGGACGGCCACAUUGGGACUGAGAUACGGCCCAGACUCCUACGGGAGGCAGCAGUGGGGAAUAUUGCACGAUGGGCGGAAGCCUGAUGCAGCGACGCCGCGUGGGGGAUGACGGCCUUCGGGUUGUAAACUCCUUUCGACCGCGAGGAAGCCACCUGGUUGGAAGGGUGGUGACGGUAGUGGUAGAAGAAGCACCGGCUAACUAUGUG
Molecule: ribosomal RNA, 494 nt
Filed under: uncultured bacterium
Lineage: Bacteria
Description: partial 16S ribosomal RNA
Rfam family: Bacterial small subunit ribosomal RNA
Source: RNAcentral